AGAGAUGAAGUAUAAUUUUUUACAUUUCAGUUACAUUGAAAAAAAUCCAAGAAUCUAGGGCGUCUCUA
This 68-nucleotide transfer RNA is filed under the name Asteronotus hepaticus. RNAcentral's name for it is "tRNA-Val". The record is from RNAcentral. Lineage: Eukaryota; Metazoa; Mollusca; Gastropoda; Nudibranchia; Asteronotidae.